This 449-nucleotide ribosomal RNA is filed under the name uncultured bacterium. RNAcentral describes it as "partial 16S ribosomal RNA". It matches the Rfam family "Bacterial small subunit ribosomal RNA", at positions 29 to 523 of the family's 1533-position model. The record is from RNAcentral.
AGCGAACGCUGGCGGCAGGCCUAACACAUGCAAGUCGAACGAAGUCUUCGGACUUAGUGGCGGACGGGUGAGUAACACGUGGGAACGUACCUUUUGGUUCGGAAUAACUGAGGGAAACUUCAGCUAAUACCGGAUAAGCUCUUCGGAGGAAAGAUUUAUCGCCAUUAGAGCGGCCCGCGUUGGAUUAGGUAGGUGGUGUGGUAAAGGCGCACCAAGCCGACGAUCCAUAGCUGGUCUGAGAGGAUGAUCAGCCACACUGGGACUGAGACACGGACCAGACUCCUACGGGAGGCAGCAUUGGGGAAUCUUGCGCAAUGGUCGAAAGACUGACGCAGCCAUGCCGCGUGAAUGAUGAAGGUCUUAGGAUUGUAAAAUUCUUUUAGCAGGGACGAUAAUGACGGUACCUGCAGAAAAAGCCCCGGCUAACUUCGUGCCAGCAGCCGCCGUAA